RNAcentral lists this ribosomal RNA (1141 nucleotides) under invertebrate environmental sample. RNAcentral's name for it is "SSU rRNA". It matches the Rfam family "Eukaryotic small subunit ribosomal RNA". The record is from RNAcentral. Lineage: Eukaryota; Metazoa.
AACCUGGUUGAUCCUGCCAGUAGUCAUAUGCUUGUCUCAAAGAUUAAGCCAUGCAUGUCUAAGUACAAUCCUCUUGAGGGAGAAACUGCGAAAGGCUCAUUAAAUCACACCUAACGAUGAGUAACGGGGAAUUAGGGUUCGAUUCCGGAGAGGGAGCCUGAGAAACGGCUACCACUUCUAAGGAAGGCAGCAGGCACGCAAAUUACCUACUGGCCAAAGGUCGAGGUAGUGACGAAAAAUAACGAUACCAGACUCAUCCGAGGCCUGGUAAUCGAGGAACCAUUGGAGGGCAAGUCUGGUGCCAGCAGCCGCGGUAAUUCCAGCUCCAAUAGUUUAUAUUCAAGUUGCUGUGGUUAAAAAGCUCGUAGUUGGAACCUGGCAUGCAGGGGGCGGUCCAUUAUUUGAUGCGACUGCCCCAUUUGCGUGUUUGUGGGGGCGGAAUUCCUUGGGUGCUCUUCACCGAGUGUCCUUGGAAGCCGCCAGGUUUACUUUGAAAAAAUUAGAGUGCUCCAAGCAGGCUCUACACGCCUGUUAUUCGUGCAUGGAAUAAUGGAAUAGGACGUCGUUCCUGUUUCGUUGGUUUUAGGGAUUCGACGUAAUGAUUAAUAGGGACAGCCGGGGGCAUUAGUAUGCAGACGACAGAGGUGAAAUUCUUGGACCGUCUGCCGACUAACUACUGCGAAAGCAUUUGCCAAGAGUGUUUUCAUUAAUCAAGAGCGAAAGUUAGAGGUUCGAAGGCGAUCAGAUACCGCCCUAGUUCUAACCAUAAACGAUGCCAGCUAGCGAUCUGCAGGCGGUUUUUUGUAGGCCCUGCAGGAAGCUUCCGGGAAACCAAUGCGUUUGGGUUCCAGGGGAAGUACGGUUGCAAAGCUGAAACUUAAAGGAAUUGACGGAAGGGUACCACCAGGUGUAAGCCAGGAAUGCCCAGUAAGCGCAAGUCAUAAGCUUGCGUUGAUUACGUCCCUGCCCUUUGUACACACCGCCCGUCGCUACUACCGAUUGAACGUUUUAGUGAGGUAUUUGGACUGGGCCUCUGGUGGUUAACGCCUCCAGUGUUGCCCGGGAAGACUCCCAAACUUGAGCGUUUAGAGGAAGUGAAAGUCGUACCAAGGUUACUGUAGGUGAACCUGCAGAAGGAUCA